ACGCACGCUGGCGGCGUGCUUAACACCUGCCAGUCGAACGAUGAAGAAAAGAAUUGAAGCUUCGGCAGAAAUUCAUUUCGGAUUAGUGGCAGACGGGUGAGUAACGCGUGAGCAACCUACCUCUUACAAAGGGAUAGCCUCGGGAAACCGGGAUUAAUACCAUAUAACAUUGCGACGAAGCAUUUCGAUGCAAUCAAAGCUACGGCGGUAAGAGAUGGGCUCGCGUCCCAUUAACCAGAUGGUGAGGUAACGGCUCACCAUAGUAACGAUGGGUAACCGGCCUGAGAGGGUGAACGGUCACACUGGAACUGAGACACGGUCCAGACUCCUACGGGAGGCAGCAGUGGGGAAUAUUGCACAAUGGAGGGAACUCUGAUGCAGCGACGCCGCGUGAGUGAUGAAGGAAUUCGUUUCGUAAAACUCUGUUCUAUGGGAAGAAAAGGACUGUACCAUAGGAGAAAGCUCCGGCUAAAUACGUG
RNAcentral lists this ribosomal RNA (479 nucleotides) under uncultured bacterium. RNAcentral's name for it is "partial 16S ribosomal RNA". It matches the Rfam family "Bacterial small subunit ribosomal RNA", at positions 29 to 507 of the family's 1533-position model. The record is from RNAcentral.